GUGCAGCGUUUUAGAUGGUGCAAUAAACAAACCCCUAUUUUACUUGGGGUUUCUUGUUACUCACAUGUGGUAUAAAAAACAAAUGACAAAUAAUAGUGCAAUACUGUAGUGGUAAAACAAGAUUUACUGUGUGUAUAAUCCUUUAGUGAACUCACAUUUGGCAGAGCCUGAAUGGAUUGCCUCUACUCAUAAAUGCUUUUGUGCCUUUUAGGCAGUACACC
Pelobates cultripes (western spadefoot toad) is the source of this 221-nucleotide non-coding RNA. The record is from the annotation of a GenBank genome assembly. NCBI's taxonomy places the organism in Eukaryota, Metazoa, Chordata, Amphibia, Anura, Pelobatidae.